This 497-nucleotide ribosomal RNA is filed under the name uncultured bacterium. Its description in RNAcentral is "partial 16S ribosomal RNA". It matches the Rfam family "Bacterial small subunit ribosomal RNA", at positions 28 to 507 of the family's 1533-position model. The record is from RNAcentral.
GAUGAACGCUGGCGGCGUGCCUAAUACAUGCAAGUCGAGCGAACAGACGAGGAGCUUGCUCCUUCUACGUUAGCGGCGGACGGGUGAGUAACACGUAGGUAACCUACCUAUAAGACUGGGAUAACUUCGGGAAACCGGAGCUAAUACCGGAUAAUAUUUCGAACCGCAUGGUUCGAUAGUGAAAGAUGGCUUUGCUAUCACUUAUAGAUGGACCUGCGCCGUAUUAGCUAGUUGGUAAGGUAACGGCUUACCAAGGCAACGAUACGUAGCCGACCUGAGAGGGUGAUCGGCCACACUGGAACUGAGACACGGUCAAGACUCCUACGGGAGGCAGCAGUAGGGAAUCUUCCGCAAUGGGCGAAAGCAUGACGGAGCAACGCCGCGUGAGUGAUGAAGGUCUUCGGAUCGUAAAACUCUGUUAUUAGGGAAGAACAAACGUGUAAGUAACUGUGCACGUCUUGACGGUACCUAAUCAGAAAGCCACGGCUAACUACGUG